GCAAGAAGGGGUGGUGGAGGGGGCGACGUGNUCUUAUGCCGCCCGACGCUUAUAGUGUGCGCGCUGGCUCGCUUUUCUCCCCCUUUUUCUCCUCCUCGUCCUCAUCUUUUCCCUGGCUUCCCACAUCUGUUGGGAGAGUGGAGGAAGAAGUGUGUGUGUAUAUAGGUAGUAUCAGCAGAAGGGGAAACAUCGUCAGGCCACCUACGUACGCAGUNGUACUGGUCACGGCUCUCACAUGAAGC
Molecule: ribosomal RNA, 242 nt
Filed under: Trypanosoma congolense type Savannah
Lineage: Eukaryota; Euglenozoa; Kinetoplastea; Trypanosomatida; Trypanosomatidae
Description: partial 18S ribosomal RNA
Source: RNAcentral